RNAcentral lists this ribosomal RNA (379 nucleotides) under uncultured bacterium. Its description in RNAcentral is "partial 16S ribosomal RNA". It matches the Rfam family "Bacterial small subunit ribosomal RNA", at positions 1131 to 1533 of the family's 1533-position model. The record is from RNAcentral.
UCUCACUCUUAAGGCGGACUGCCGUUGACAAAACGGAGGAAGAGGGGGACGACGUCAAAUCAUCAUGCCCNUUAUGUCCNGGGCUACACANGUAAUACAAUGGCGGUCAACAGAGGGAAGCAAAGCCGCGAGGCAGAGCAAACCCCUAAAAGCNGUCUCAGUUCGGAUUGCAGGCUGCAACUCGCCUGCAUGAAGUUGGAAUUNCUAGUAAUCGUGGAUCAGCAUGCCGCGGUGAAUACGUUCCCGGGCCUUGUACACACCGCCNGUCACACCAUGAGAGUUGGGAACACCCGAAGUCNGUAGUCUAACCGCAAGGAGGGCGCGGCCGAAGGUGGGCCUGAUAAUUGNGGUGAANUCNUANCAGGGUUAAACCGUAAUA